RNAcentral lists this transfer RNA (35 nucleotides) under Amphidinium massartii. RNAcentral describes it as "partial Selenocysteine transfer RNA". Lineage: Eukaryota; Dinophyceae; Amphidiniales; Amphidiniaceae. The record is from RNAcentral.
GACCUGACACUACAGGUAUGGACAUAUGGCGCAAG